GUUGCCAGCAUUUAAGUGGGGACUCAGAUGAGACUGCCGGUGACAAACCGGAGGAAGGUGGGGACGACGUCAAGUCAUCAUGGCCCUUAUGUCCUGGGCUACACACGUGCUACAAUGGCCGGUACAGAGUGAAGCGAAACCGCGAGGUGAAGCAAAACGCAGAAAGCCGGUCUCAGUACGGAUUGGAGUCUGAAACUCGACCUCAUGAAGUUGGAAUCGCUAGUAAUCGCGCAUCAGCAUGGCGCGGUGAAUACGUUCCCGGGCCUU
RNAcentral lists this ribosomal RNA (267 nucleotides) under uncultured Spirochaeta sp. RNAcentral describes it as "partial 16S ribosomal RNA". It matches the Rfam family "Bacterial small subunit ribosomal RNA", at positions 1114 to 1382 of the family's 1533-position model. Lineage: Bacteria; Pseudomonadati; Spirochaetota; Spirochaetia; Spirochaetales; Spirochaetaceae. The record is from RNAcentral.